AUUGCUUCUCGGCCUUUUGGCUAAGAUCAAGUG
This 33-nucleotide small nuclear RNA is filed under the name Cervus elaphus hippelaphus. The record is from RNAcentral. Lineage: Eukaryota; Metazoa; Chordata; Mammalia; Artiodactyla; Cervidae.